GAUGAACGCUGGCGGCGUGCCUAAUACAUGCAAGUCGAGCGAACGGACGAGAAGCUUGCUUCUCUGAUGUUAGCGGCGGACGGGUGAGUAACACGUGGAUAACCUACCUAUAAGACUGGGAUAACUUCGGGAAACCGGAGCUAAUACCGGAUAAUAUUUUGAACCGCAUGGUUCAAAAGUGAAAGACGGUCUUGCUGUCACUUAUAGAUGGAUCCGCGCUGCAUUAGCUAGUUGGUAAGGUAACGGCUUACCAAGGCAACGAUGCAUAGCCGACCUGAGAGGGUGAUCGGCCACACUGGAACUGAGACACGGUCCAGACUCCUACGGGAGGCAGCAGUAGGGAAUCUUCCGCUAUAGGCGAAAGCCUGACGGAGCAACGCCGCGUGAGUGAUGAAGGUCUUCGGAUCGUAAAACUCUGUUAUUAGGGAAGAACAUAUGUGUAAGUAACUGUGCACAUCUUGACGGUACCUAAUCAGAAAGCCACGGCUAACUACGUG
This 497-nucleotide ribosomal RNA is filed under the name uncultured bacterium. RNAcentral describes it as "partial 16S ribosomal RNA". It matches the Rfam family "Bacterial small subunit ribosomal RNA", at positions 28 to 507 of the family's 1533-position model. The record is from RNAcentral.